RNAcentral lists this unclassified non-coding RNA (6945 nucleotides) under Onthophagus taurus. RNAcentral describes it as "aT-rich interactive domain-containing protein 2, transcript variant X4". Lineage: Eukaryota; Metazoa; Arthropoda; Insecta; Coleoptera; Scarabaeidae. The record is from RNAcentral.
GCGCCAUAGUAGAGAAAUCGUUCAAACAACAAUCGUUCGUUGUCAAAAAGUUAUGAAUUUUUAUUAUCGAUCACUCGGCAAAGCGGUUGGCCGGGGGUGUAACGGGGGCCGCGAAACGUUUCGUCUGAUCGUUCUCGCGGGUGAUUCUGAACGGUGGCAACAAGCCCCGAGUGUUAGGGGCCUCGUUUCAAAGUUUCUGUUUGGCGCCUCGCGCGGCAGCAUAACGUCCGUGCCGGCCGCCAUGUUGUAAUACUGGUGUUGUCAGGCAUCAUGGGUUAACACGGGUAAAGUACGUAGCGGGCAUUUUUACGUGUGCAUAGGUGUUUUUUGGGUCGGUGUCGACGCGUUUUCGCGCUCAGGUUGUCGUCCGUACCGGGGCCCGUUCCGUUGAGCAGAGUUUGCGGGCCGCGGGUGCCGCGUUCCUGCGCAUUUAUACCUACGAUCGGUCGGUCCGUUCGUCCGAGUGAGUGCAACGUCUUGCUAACGCAGGGAGUCGUCUACUGACCGCGAGGUCCCGAGCAUCAUCCCCAGUGUGCGGGAGGUGAACAAUAACGACGUCGCCGGGGUCGUCCCGAUGUCCUCGUACUGCGUCAAUGUUUUCCAGUGACACGUGCAGUGUGGGAGAUACACCUGGGGGUUUUGAGCUACUAUGGCCAAAAUUCUUGGUAAGGAUCCCGUUACAUACGCCAAGGAACGGGACGGUUUCCUCAGGGAGCUGCACCACUUCCAUGAGAGUCGGGGGACUCCAUUUCGUCGGGCGCCCAUUUUAAGCGGCCACGAGAUCGACUUGUACCUCCUCUACUCCCUCGUCACCGAACAAGGAGGAUGGAUCAAGGUGAAUUCAAAAAAUGGUUGGCACGAACUGUACGAGCACUUUCGCGUACCCGGAAAGUGCGUCAACGGGAGCGUCGCCUUGAAGCAGAUCUAUCUGAGGUAUUUGGAUCGGUGGGAGAAGGUGCACUAUUUAGGCGAGGAAGCCGAUAGGGGUAGCGACGACGAUGAAGAGAGCCGCCACAAGCGCUGGUCCGCUAGGGCUCUUCAUUCUGUACCGUUGACGUACAACUAUAGUCAACACAACAUCACUGAAUCAACUAGAGAUUACAACCACCUCUCAACAGACCUCUACAAAGCAUCAGACUACGACCGUUUAGCUCUAUCGCUUCUGUCGCCAUUGCCCAAUGAACAAGAUUUUGCAAUAAACGUAUGCACUCUUCUGUCAAACGAUGGAAAACACACCUUAAAAAUUGAAAGACAUCCUCGGAUAGUUGAUUACCUGGUGGCUCACGCUGGAGUUUUCAGUCACCCUUCUAUGCGGGCGGUUUUCGAGGAUUCUUACAACAAAGUCCGAAGGCAUCCGAUAAACACUUUCUGGAACGAAGUGAUCGAAUCGGAAGAAUUUUUGGAUCUCACCAAUGAGAAAAAAUAUUCAUGUUCGGAAACCGUUCGUGCUGUGGCCACGGGAGGUAUCGAACCCGGCAUUCCCCUCAGUGACGUACCUGCCGAAUCCGACGAGAAAGUGGUCGCGACGGAAGUGCAAAGGACACCAUCGAGCGGCAAUAGUAACUUAGAAAAUGUGAUAAGUGAUUUCUAUGAGUGUUGUAGUGAUAGUGACCUAAAUGAUGAAAGGUUUAAGUUAAGGUUAGGGCCUACGGACAGUGAAUUGUUUUCGUUAGGCAGGAAUCUUGGAACGAGAGAUUAUAUCGGUCAACGAGUUUUGCAGGUCGCGACAAUAUUAAGGAACUUGUCGUUUAUCGAUGAGAACGUUCCCAUUUUAUCGAACAAUCGGACUUUUGUGCGUUUUAUGUUGUUGUGUUUGUGUUCCAGAUGGGGUCCGCUACAGAACCUCGGUUUUGAUAUGUUAGGCAACAUUUCAUCCGAGUUUCAAGUAAAAGACCCCCAAAACGACCGUCUAGCCACUCAUCUCCUCAAAAUCGUCACCGUCGGUUUAAAAAGCGAAGAUCGCAGUUCCUGCAUAUCGUGUUUAGACGCACUCAAUAAACUCAGUCAAAACGAAUUGAACGAAGACUCUUUAACGCGCGCUUUGGAAAGCUUAGUUUACGAACGUGUGUGUACCUUCUUGACGAUCCACGACGUCAUGCUUCUCAUAUAUACUUUGGAGUGUUUGUACUCUCUAUCUUCUCUCGGUGAACGUGCGUGCAACUACAUAGUCAAUAAUCACGGUGUCGUUGACACUCUUGUGUCUUUGGUCACAGUUGAAGGUAAAAGUUAUGGCCCUAAAGCCUGUAUUGGUAUGAAACUUGUUGAAACCGUUCCCGGUGGAUCUUUAGCUACCCAACCGGGUGCUACAUCUACGGUUACUAACGUUUCUGGUACAUCAUCGUCCAUUCCUGCGUCUAGUGCAAAUACUCCAACAACUGUUGUUAGUUCAAUAUCUACAAAAUCGGGAAAUUUGAGUAAUACACCACAAAGAGUUGUUCAAAUGGCACCACAAAGAUUAAUUACAAUUACCCCAACGUCACAAAGUUCGACGACAACUCCAAUAACAAUACAACCUACGGCUGGAAGUCCUCAAGCAACCCCGGCUAUCACUCCUCAACAAAUGGUACAACAACAACACGCUCAUCAACAAGCUAUUCAAGAAAACGAACAAUUUGCAUUAGCCUGGCUGAGAGCAACUUAUGAACCAAGUAAUAAUGGCCGUGUUGACCACCAAGAAUUAUACAAACAUUACAUAAAUUCCUGUGCGAAAAUUGGGAGGAGAGGAGUGAUAGCUCCGUUACAUUUUCCAAGAUGUGUCCGAUCGGUCUUUGGUGGUACAGUAGGCCCAAAUCCUGUGAAACCAGCGAUGCCAAGCGAUCCCCAAUACUACGACGGCAUUAAGGCGCGCGCGCAGCCGUUAUCGGUAAACGUCCAACAACAACAACCAUCCGUAACCACCACAACCAACACCUCUGUCGCCGUACAAAGUCCUUCCAAAAGUAUCGCGUCAACUGCGAAGCGCAAAGCUUCUACCGUCUCGCUGUCGGUUACGGCCGACUGCUCGGACACGCCCCCCGCGUCUCCUGCCUCACCCAUUCUCAAAGCGCAACUGAGCGCGCCCCCAAAACCCAGAGAGUCGACCGUUACCGUCACCACUACCGCGACCACCACCAAUAUCGUUGUUUCGACCAACACUUCCACCGUUGUACUAACUAACAAGAGCGACCCCAAAAGUCAGGUUAUGGCACACCCCCAUUUAAGUCAGGCUUUACUGGGAACGGGGCAGAACGCGUCUUCUUCUACAGGUGGUAAAGAGUUAGGAACGGGUCAACCAAAUACGUCGCUCAUCAAAAGUUUACUAGCGACUAAGGUAACCACAGAGUGCAUGACUGCAGUAAGCAUGAAGACUGCUACCGACAGCCAAACAGUAACAACACAGGUUGUGGCUAGGCAGCAACAGCAAAGAUUAUUAGCUCAACAAACUCAAACGCCUGAAAAUAAAUUAAACAAAUCGACUCUUAUUGAAACGCCUAAAGGGAUUCGUUUAAAUGGAGCUCGUCAACUUUUCUCAGAUACAGAUACUACAGAAUCUGAUGUGACAUCAACGACUCAAAAUACGACAUCGAAUAUACGAAAAGAACCCCCACAACCACCUCCACCUCCACUGGCACCAUUAAGCAGUCAAAAACCAAAACAUAUGAGAAUAGAAAACGAAGACAGUGAUUCAACGGGUAAUAAUUCGUUGGCUUCGAGUACGGGUUUGGGAAAUAUCGGAAUGGGUGGUGUUUCCAGUACGGAGGAUGGUGAUAAUUCACUAACUAGUUUUGAAGGACUUUUAAAUGGGAUUCCAAGUAUUGAUAAUCCGUUAAAUGACGAUAGUAAUUCCAAAGAUUCGGUGAAAAAUAGUUUGAAAAAACCUCUGAUGUUGGCGGAAUUAUUAGAAAAGAAAGUUGAUAAAGAUACGUUGAUGAUGAAUGGGGUUUUGGGGAAGGAGUUGAGAAAAGGCGAAAAGAGUGUUGAUUUGGUUGAAAAUCACAUAGACAAAAUUUUAAGUAAAGAAAAUAAUUUAAAUGAAGCAAGAGAACAAUGUGGAUUUAUCGAGGAAGAUUCAAAUUGUAUUAACGUAAAAUUGAAUGAGAAUAAAAUAAGCUUAAAAAGAGCAGCUAGCGAUGAUCUUCCUUCAGAACCGGAGGCUAAAAAACCUCUCUUAUUAACUAACGUCAAUGGCAACGCAGAUUCACCCGCUCCAGAUUCCGUAGCCAGCUCAAAUGGUGAUGAUCAACCAACAGAGAAAGUAUCAACGGCAGCAGCUAAAUUAUUUGCUGAUAUGGCCGCUGACAUCCUUGAAGACGAAGACGUUGACGAAUUAAUGCAAGAAGUCCAACAACCAACAACAGUUUCUCCUCCAAUUCCAGUUGAAGAACCAUCAUCCGUUGUAAUAUCGUCUCAAAGCAACGUAAUGUCUCAAACGAGUUCAGUUCCGCAAGUUUUCGUCGAUGGAAACCAGCAAGUAUUAUUAACACAACCAACACGUCAAAUAAUCGUGUCUCAACCCCAACUUAAAACGCAAAGCGGUCAAGUUAUCGUUCAAAAUCCCCAACAACAACGACCAGGACAAAUUAUUCUUCAACAAGCCAAUACUGGUCAAAUUUUAUUGUCUCAAGGGCUUCAAGGACCAGUUCAGUUGGUUGCUAGUUCAACUCAACCAGGUCAAUAUGUCAUCCAAACGAGUGGAACUCAAAAUUAUAUGGUCGCGCAACCCCAAACCGCGAUGGUACAUGGUCAACCCCAAACGGUUUUAGUUGCGCAAACACCACAACAACAAGGAACUAACACAAAAACGAUCAUCAUCCUUCAACAACCAUCGCAACAACAAAAGGUUGUUGUAACUCCUCAAGGACAACAAGUGGUUGUAACUCAGGUUCAAAGGCCAAUUUUACAAUCGUCGAGCGUUAGCAACAAUAAUAAUAAUAAUCAAAGUUCGACGAGCGGUGGUAUUAUUAAAAGUGCUGCUUCGCAAUGUACCUCUACUAUUACAACUACAAUCACAGCGGAGAAAAAGACUGAGGAGAUUAAGGUGUCUCCAAAACCGAAAAUCAUUCGUGAUUUAACGACACCUUUCGUUUGUGAAUGGGGUGAUUGCCAAAUUGAAACGAAAUUUAAAUCAGCAAACCAAGUUUACUUGCACGUUUGUGAAAUGCAUGUUCCAAAAGGUUCCGAGGAAAUUAUGUGCCAGUGGGAUCGAUGUGACAAUAUGAAGAGGAAAAGAUUCUCUCUAAUGACGCAUUUAAAUGACAAACAUUGUAAUACAGAGGCUAUGAGGGCAAGUUUAACUCGUCGGAAACAAGCCCAACAUUCAGGGAAAAGUGAAACAGCUUCGACUUCAGCAGUGGCCCCUCCGCAUCCUGGUUAUGCACCAGAUGCAGCGUUCCACGCGAUUAAACGGCAUGCGUUAGAAUUUGUAAAUCCAAAGGAAUUACAGGGUUCUACUGUAAGUUCUUCUCAACCUCCGCCCAGACCUGGGCCUUCAAUAACUGAACAGGACGACAAUGAGGGACCGGUUACGAAAAGCAUCCGUCUAACAGCCUCUCUCAUACUUAGGAAUCUCGUAAUAUACAGCAGUAAUUGCAGGAGGUACUUAAAGCAUUAUGAACCGCAUUUGGCGAAUGUAGCCUUAAGUAACGUGGAAUCAUCGAGGACGAUAGCGCAAGUUUUGUACGAUAUGAACGACGUCUCGUCGAGCCACAGGUGACCAAGACGCGACCACAAGUGCGUUCGUUUUUGGGACAUUCAGUGAAAAAGAGUAUAAAAUAAAACUUGGCUAAUGAACGAUUAUUUUGACGGUGGAAAAAAGAAAAUAGGACUUAAGGAAUGUGUUGUAUAAAAAAAAACGAAGUAAUAAGUGGCCGUGUACAAAUCGAUAUAUGAAUAGGUGUAAGAGCCUAAUUGUUAUUUUUAUAUUAUUUACUAGUGUGUAAAACGUAAUUGCUUCGAAAUCUAAAUCUAAGUAGCUCGGUUUUGAUGAGGAGAGAAAGGUUUUAAGGUGAUGAAAGAUGAUAAUGAGAAUGACAUAAUAAUGAUGGGUGAGAGGAAGAUGACGGAGUACAGUUUUUUUGUGUUUUUUUUAUAUGCAGUCCAAUGAAAUCUGUAUAUAAAAAAAUAUGUUGUAAUCGUGAAAAAACUGUGCAAUUUAUUUUGGAAUAUAUUUAUUAAAAACACCAUCCCUAUAGCAAAAAAAGGAAAUAAUGAAACGAGGUUUUGUUACUGUCCAACGUUUCUUGUGAUAUACAAGCACACGCAGUAUUAAGCGGAAAGGUUUCGAGAAAGGGGCUCGAGAAUCUCUAGUUUGUAAUUUAAAAACGAUUUUAUAGCAAAGCAAGCAAAGCAGACUGAUUUACUACAAUCCUCGUGGACGCGAACGGAAGUGAGUUUUAAAAAACUAAAUAAGUUUCAUGUGUUUUAGCAUAUCCAACUCUACUUACCACUUUAAAAAAAGAGGAGAGAGUAUGAAACUAAAAGAUAUAAAAAAUUACACAACAUAACACACACAUACACACAGACACAUUGUAAAACUGUUUACAAACGUGUAAAAGAAUAAAAGCUGCAUUUAAUGUCCAAGUUUGGUCCUUUCUCGUGUUUGUUUUCAGGUAUUCAUUUAUAUUUUGAAAAAAAAACUUUACCUUUUAAAAAAAAAGUAAAAGAAACGACGUCUUACGUGUCGCCGUUUUCUUUUUUUUAUUUUGUCUUUUUUUCGAGCGCUCGCAAUAGGUCUUAAGGGUCGUUGGCCGCACGCAUGAAGAAAUUAACCCCUUUAUUCCUAAGAGUAACUAUUUUUAAUCGCCACGGGGACGUUUCUUCAAACUGGCGGUCGCACACCUCGUAAAUUGUAGCAGUUAUGUAUCAUAGAUCAUCGUAUAUUUAAUCCAUUAUUGUUUAGUUAUUUACAAAUCAUUUUUUAUCGAUGUUAAUAAAACUUUUGUCCAAAGUUGAUAUACUACUACUACA